This 253-nucleotide ribosomal RNA is filed under the name uncultured bacterium. RNAcentral's name for it is "partial 16S ribosomal RNA". It matches the Rfam family "Bacterial small subunit ribosomal RNA", at positions 524 to 776 of the family's 1533-position model. The record is from RNAcentral.
UACGUAGGGUGCGAGCGUUGUCCGGAAUUACUGGGCGUAAAGAGCUCGUAGGUGGUUUGUCGCGUUGUUCGUGAAAACUCACAACUCAAUUGUGGGCGUGCGGGCGAUACGGGCAGACUGGAGUACUGCAGGGGAGACUGGAAUUCCUGGUGUAGCGGUGGAAUGCGCAGAUAUCAGGAGGAACACCCGUGGCGAAGGCGGCUCUCUGGGACGGUACUGACGCUGAGACGCGAAAGCGUGGGGAGCGAACAGG